GGAGAGGUCGCAUAGUGGUCGAGUGCGCACGCUUGGAAAGCGUGUAGUCCAAUUGGGCUCGGGGGUUCGAAUCCCCUCCUCUCCU
Streptococcus gallolyticus is the source of this 85-nucleotide non-coding RNA. NCBI's taxonomy places the organism in Bacteria, Bacillati, Bacillota, Bacilli, Lactobacillales, Streptococcaceae. The record is from Rfam.